GAUGAACGCUGGCGGCGUGCUUAAUACAUGUAAGUCGAACGGAUGAUUAGCAAUAAUUAUUAGUGGCGAACGGGUGAGUAACGCGUUGGUGACCUGCCCCGAAGUGGGGGAUACCAGUUCGAAAGGACUGCUAAUACCGCAUGAGUUCGUGCGAGGUGAGACAGCACGAGGAAAGCCACGUGAGUGGCGCUUUGGGAGGGACCUGCGUCCCAUCAGCUAGUUGGUAAGGUAACGGCUUACCAAGGCGACGACGGGUAGGGGGCCUGAGAGGGUGACCCCCCACACUGGCACUGAAACACGGGCCAGACACCUACGGGUGGCAGCAGUAGGGAAUAUUGCACAAUGGGCGAAAGCCCGAUGCAGCAACGCCGCGUGCACGAUGAAGGCCUUCGGUUGUAAAGUGCUUUUCUGCAGGAAGAGGAAGGACUGUACUGUAGGAAUAAGGAAUCGGCUAACUACGUG
RNAcentral lists this ribosomal RNA (462 nucleotides) under uncultured bacterium. RNAcentral's name for it is "bacterial SSU rRNA". It matches the Rfam family "Bacterial small subunit ribosomal RNA", at positions 28 to 507 of the family's 1533-position model. The record is from RNAcentral.